CCCAGGCUGGAGUGUGGUGGAAAGAUCAGAGCUCACUGCAGCCUCCAACUUGCUGGCUCAAGUGAUCCUCCCACCUCAGCGCCCCGAGCAGCUGGGACCACAGGUGUGGACUAACACACCUGGCUGGUCUUUUUGAUUUUUAGUAGAGAUGAGGUCUCACUAUGUUGCCCCGGCUGAUUUCGAAUUCCUGGGCUUAAGCGAUCCUCCCUCCUUGGCCUCUCAAAGUGCUGGGAUUACAGGCAUGGUGGCGGGCGCCUGUAGUCCCAGCUACUCGGGAGGCUGAGGCAGGAGAAUGGCGUGAACCCGGGAGGCGGAGCUUGCAAUGAGCCGAGAUCGCGCCACUGCACUCCAGCCUGGGCGACAGAGCAAGACUCCGUCUCAAAAAAAAAAAAAAAAAAAAAAAAAUAUAUAUAUAUAUAUAUAUAUAAACUUAAAAUGGACAGGAAGCAUCCCUGUGAUAUUAGGGGUAAUAUCACGGCACAUCAGAAACUAUCCACCAAUUAGUACCCGGAGAAUCUAGUCCUGCAGGGCAAGAGGAUGACAGCAGACAACACCUGGGGUCCAGCUGAGGAGAAAGCCAGGACGCGCCCCCUCGAGACCCUGCCCUUCAAAACACCACUUCCAGACCUUGCCCUCAAGAUGACGAUCACCCUCUGGCCCGGCCUCCAGGCAGCCUCCUCAUUCUUGCCCCGCCCAGAUUC
This 701-nucleotide small RNA is filed under the name Pan troglodytes (chimpanzee). RNAcentral's name for it is "sense intronic". Lineage: Eukaryota; Metazoa; Chordata; Mammalia; Primates; Hominidae. The record is from RNAcentral.